GAGUUUGAUCUUGGCUCAGAGCGAACGCCGGCGGCAGGCCUAACACAUGCAAGUCGAGCGGCCGUAGCAAUACGGCAGCGGCAGACGGGAGAGUAACACGUGGGAACGCGCCCUUCGGUUCGGGAUAACCCAGGGAAACUUGGGCUAAUACCGGAUACGCCCUUACGGGGAAAGAUUUAUUGCCGAAGGAACGGCCCGCGUCCGAUUAGCUAGUUGGUGAGGUAAUGGCUCACCAAGGCGACGAUCGGUAGCUGGUCUGAGAGGAUGACCAGCCUCACUGGGACUGAGACACGGCCCAGACUCCUACGGGAGGCAGCAGUGGGGAAUAUUGGACAAUGGGCGCAAGCCUGAUCCAGCCAUGCCGCGUGGGUGAUGAAGGCCCUAGGGUUGUAAAGCCCUUUCAGCGGGGAAGAUAAUGACGGUACCCGCAGAAGAAGCCCCGGCUAACUUCGUGCCAGCAGCCGCGGUAAC
Molecule: ribosomal RNA, 471 nt
Filed under: uncultured Alphaproteobacteria bacterium
Lineage: Bacteria; Pseudomonadati; Pseudomonadota; Alphaproteobacteria
Description: bacterial SSU rRNA
Rfam family: Bacterial small subunit ribosomal RNA
Source: RNAcentral